AUGCCGAGGGCUUCCAUCUUCGCAGAUGAUGCUAUCUUGUUUUUUAGGCCGGUGCAUGCCGACUUACAGACCAUAUCUAGUAUUCUGAAGCUCCUUGGUGAAGCCGCGGGUCUGAGGAUUAACUUGUAUAAGAGUACUGUCACAACCAUCCGUUGCGACGAAGGGGUUGCAGCAGCUGUGGAGGAGCAUUUCCAGUGCAGGAGGCAACAAUUCCCUAUCCAAUAUUUGGGCCUACCCCUCUCCAUCUUCCGAUUGCGACGCCAAGAUCUCCUCCCACUCAUCGAUAAAUUCUCAGGAAAAUUGAAAGGAUGGAAGCCAAAGAUGCUUGCUGUUGCGGGCCGUCUAACUCUCACUCGCUCGGUCCUGAUGGCCCUGCCCUUACACUGGAUGGCUGUACUCCCUUUGCCGGCUUGGGUCAUCAAGAUCAUUAAUAGGCGUUGCCGUGGAUUUAUUUGGAAGGGUGAACAGGAGAUCAAUGGUGGUCAUGGUCUACUGCCUUGGUCUAGAGUUUGCUUGCCUUUGGAG
RNAcentral lists this ribosomal RNA (525 nucleotides) under Triticum aestivum (bread wheat). Its description in RNAcentral is "partial small subunit ribosomal RNA". The record is from RNAcentral. Lineage: Eukaryota; Viridiplantae; Streptophyta; Magnoliopsida; Poales; Poaceae.